UCCUGCAGAAGUAAAAAUACCACACAAAAAAUCCUCAGGGAAACUAAUGCAAAUAAAACCAAAAUUUGUUGCUUCAAAUGCUUCUAUUUCAUGUCUUGUACAUAUGUAUUCUUUAUUUUGGUUUUGGGGCAGGCAGAUGUUUACAGAGGGAAGGCAGCACUACUAAUGCAAGAAGAGAUGAUGUGUGACAAUUGACAAACAUGUCCAAAGAAAGAAAACAAAUCAUUAUUCUUAUUCCAUUUUCCAAUCUACAAUAAGCAUAUAUGAUCUUAAAUCCAUAUUGAUUUUUGAAUCAGAUAAAAAAACAUUUUCGUCGAGGAUUAGAUGAAAUUCUUUAAUCGGUUCCUAUCAACUAAACAUGUAAAUCACAGAAAUUAAAAUAUACAUCUCACCG
RNAcentral lists this long non-coding RNA (394 nucleotides) under Trifolium pratense (red clover). RNAcentral's name for it is "long non-coding RNA (TPRA_LNC002890)". The record is from RNAcentral. Lineage: Eukaryota; Viridiplantae; Streptophyta; Magnoliopsida; Fabales; Fabaceae.